AGUGAACGCUGGCGGUAGGCCUAACACAUGCAAGUCGAACGGCAGCACAGUAAGAGCUUGCUCUUACGGGUGGCGAGUGGCGGACGGGUGAGGAAUACAUCGGAAUCUACUUUUUCGUGGGGGAUAACGUAGGGAAACUUACGCUAAUACCGCAUACGCCCUACGGGUGAAAGCAGGGGAUCUUCGGACCUUGCGCGAUUGAAUGAGCCGAUGUCGGAUUAGCUAGUUGGCGGGGUAAAGGCCCACCAAGGCGACGAUCCGUAGCUGGUCUGAGAGGAUGAUCAGCCACACUGGAACUGAGACACGGUCCAGACUCCUACGGGAGGCAGCAGUGGGGAAUAUUGGACAAUGGGCACAAGCCUGAUCCAGCCAUACCGCGUGGGUGAAGAAGGCCUUCGGGUUGUAAAGCCCUUUUGUUGGGAAAGAAAAGCAGCAGGUUAAUACCCCGCUGUUCUGACGGUACCCAAAGAAUAAGCACCGGCUAACUUCGUG
Molecule: ribosomal RNA, 492 nt
Filed under: uncultured bacterium
Lineage: Bacteria
Description: partial 16S ribosomal RNA
Rfam family: Bacterial small subunit ribosomal RNA
Source: RNAcentral